RNAcentral lists this ribosomal RNA (301 nucleotides) under uncultured bacterium. Its description in RNAcentral is "partial 16S ribosomal RNA". It matches the Rfam family "Bacterial small subunit ribosomal RNA", at positions 509 to 807 of the family's 1533-position model. The record is from RNAcentral.
CAGUCGCCGCGGGAAUACAGAGGGUGCGAGCGUUAAUCGGAUUUACUGGGCGUAAAGCGUGCGUAGGCGGCUUCUUAAGUCGGAUGUGAAAUCCCUGAGCUUAACUUAGGAAUUGCAUUCGAUACUGGGAAGCUAGAGUGUGGGAGAGGAUGGUAGAAUUCCAGGUGUAGCGGUGAAAUGCGUAGAGAUCUGGAGGAAUACCGAUGGCGAAGGCAGCCAUCUGGCCUAACACUGACGCUGAGGUACGAAAGCAUGGGGAGCAAACAGGAUUAGAUACCCCCGUAGUCCCUGUCUCUUAUAC